This 253-nucleotide ribosomal RNA is filed under the name uncultured bacterium. RNAcentral describes it as "partial 16S ribosomal RNA". It matches the Rfam family "Bacterial small subunit ribosomal RNA", at positions 524 to 776 of the family's 1533-position model. The record is from RNAcentral.
UACGUAGGGGGCAAGCGUUGUUCGGAAUUACUGGGCGUAAAGGGCGCGUAGGCGGCACAGCAAGUCGGGAGUGAAAGCCCGGGGCUCAACCCCGGAAUGUCUUUCGAAACUGCUGAGCUCGAGUGCGGAAGAGGCAACUGGAAUUCCCAGUGUAGCGGUGAAAUGCGUAGAUAUUGGGAAGAACACCAGUGGCGAAGGCGGCUCACUGGCCCGAUACUGACGCUGAGGUGCGAAAGCGUGGGGAGCAAACAGG